GUGGGGAAUAUUGGACAAUGGGCGAAAGCCUGAUCCAGCCAUGCCGCGUGUGUGAAGAAGGUCUUCGGAUUGUAAAGCACUUUAAGUUGGGAGGAAGGGCAGUAAGUUAAUACCUUGCUGUUUUGACGUUACCGACAGAAUAAGCACCGGCUAACUUCGUGCCAGCAGCCGCGGUAAUACGAAGGGUGCAAGCGUUAAUCGGAAUUACUGGGCGUAAAGCGCGCGUAGGUGGUUUUGUAAGUUGGAGGUGAAAUCCCCGGGCUCAACCUGGGAACUGCUUUCAAAACUGCUGAGCUAGAGUACGGUAGAGGGUGGUGGAAUUUCCUGUGUAGCGGUGAAAUGCGUAGAUAUAGGAAGGAACACCAGUGGCGAAGGCGACCACCUGGACUGAUACUGACACUGAGGUGCGAAAGCGUGGGGAGCAAACAGGAUUAGAUACCCGAGUAGUCC
RNAcentral lists this ribosomal RNA (450 nucleotides) under uncultured bacterium. Its description in RNAcentral is "partial 16S ribosomal RNA". It matches the Rfam family "Bacterial small subunit ribosomal RNA", at positions 354 to 796 of the family's 1533-position model. The record is from RNAcentral.